RNAcentral lists this ribosomal RNA (253 nucleotides) under uncultured bacterium. RNAcentral describes it as "partial 16S ribosomal RNA". It matches the Rfam family "Bacterial small subunit ribosomal RNA", at positions 524 to 776 of the family's 1533-position model. The record is from RNAcentral.
GACGGAAGAGGCAAGCGUUGUUCGGAAUCACUGGGCUUAAAGCGCGUGUAGGCGGCCCGGCAAGUACCUUGUGAAAGCCCUCGUCUCAACCGAGGCAUGGCUGGGUAUACUGCCGGGCUUGAGGCAGGUAGGGGUGCCUGGAACUCUCGGUGGAGCGGUGAAAUGCGUAGAUAUCGAGAGGAACGCCCGUGGCGAAAGCGGGGCACUGGGCCUGACCUGACGCUGAGACGCGAAAGCGUGGGGAGCAAACGGG